This 1391-nucleotide ribosomal RNA is filed under the name human gut metagenome. RNAcentral describes it as "bacterial LSU rRNA". It matches the Rfam family "Bacterial large subunit ribosomal RNA", at positions 1553 to 2925 of the family's 2925-position model. The record is from RNAcentral.
ACACCGAGAGAUGAUGACGAGGCUCUACGGAGCUGAAGUAACCGAUACCACACUUCCAGGAAAAGCCACUAAGCUUCAGGUUUAUCUAAACCGUACUGAAAACCGACACAGGUGGUCAGGUAGAGAAUACUCAGGCGCUUGAGAGAACUCGGGUGAAGGAACUAGGCAAAAUAGCACCGUAACUUCGGGAGAAGGUGCGCCGGCGUAGAUUGUAGUCCCUAGCGGGCGAAGGUUGAACCGGUCGAAGAUACCAGCUGGCUGCAACUGUUUAUUAAAAACACAGCACUCUGCAAACACGAAAGUGGACGUAUAGGGUGUGAUGCCUGCCCGGUGCUGGAAGGUUAAUUGAUGGUGUAAUCGAAAGAGAAGCUCCUGAUCGAAGCCCCAGUAAACGGCGGCCGUAACUAUAACGGUCCUAAGGUAGCGAAAUUCCUUGUCGGGUAAGUUCCGACCUGCACGAAUGGCAUAAUGAUGGCCAGGCUGUCUCCACCCGAGACUCAGUGAAAUUGAAAUCGCCGUGAAGAUGCGGUGUACCCGCGGCUAGACGGAAAGACCCCGUGAACCUUUACUAUAGCUUGACACUGAACAUUGAAUUUUGAUGUGUAGGAUAGGUGGGAGCCUUUGAAGCAGUCACGCCAGUGAUUGUGGAGGCGUCCUUGAAAUACCACCCUUUAACGUUUGAUGUUCUAACGAAGAUUACGAAACGUGGUCUCGGACAGUGUCUGGUGGGUAGUUUGACUGGGGCGGUCUCCUCCCAAAGAGUAACGGAGGAGCACGAAGGUUUGCUAAUGACGGUCGGACAUCGUCAGGUUAGUGCAAUGGUAUAAGCAAGCUUAACUGCGAGACAGACAAGUCGAGCAGGUACGAAAGUAGGUCAUAGUGAUCCGGUGGUUCUGAAUGGAAGGGCCAUCGCUCAACGGAUAAAAGGUACUCCGGGGAUAACAGGCUGAUACCGCCCAAGAGUUCAUAUCGACGGCGGUGUUUGGCACCUCGAUGUCGGCUCAUCACAUCCUGGGGCUGAAGUAGGUCCCAAGGGUAUGGCUGUUCGCCAUUUAAAGUGGUACGCGAGCUGGGUUUAGAACGUCGUGAGACAGUUCGGUCCCUAUCUGCCGUGGGCGUUGGAGAAUUGAUUGGGGCUGCUCCUAGUACGAGAGGACCGGAGUGGACGCACCACUGGUGUUCCGGUUGUGUCGCCAGACGCAUUGCCGGGUAGCUAAGUGCGGAAGAGAUAAGUGCUGAAAGCAUCUAAGCACGAAACUUGCCAAGAGAUGAGUUCUCCCUGUUUUUAAGACAGUAAGGGUUGUUUAAGACUAAGACGUAGAUAGGUCUGGUGUGUAAGCGGUGCGAGCCGUUGAGCUAACAGAUACUAAUUGCCCGAGAGGCUUAACUAU